This is a non-coding RNA of Pelobates cultripes (western spadefoot toad), 252 nucleotides long. The record is from the annotation of a GenBank genome assembly. Lineage: Eukaryota; Metazoa; Chordata; Amphibia; Anura; Pelobatidae.
CACAUACCCCAACCCUAAAAUACUUCCCCACCCAAUUCUGUCACACUCACUCCGCCACACUUAUUCUGUCACAUUAAUCCCCCUAACAGUGCACACACACACACACACACAGUAACUUCCCACAAGCAAAGAACAGCCUCACCAUAAACAUAACACACAUCGACUACAGGUGAUUGCAGCCCUUGUUUCGUGUGUGUGUGUGUCUCUAUCUCAGAGGAUUAUAGAAUAUGUGGGGGAAAUAGACUAUGUUAC